Molecule: RNA transcript, 3811 nt
Organism: Colius striatus (speckled mousebird)
Lineage: Eukaryota; Metazoa; Chordata; Aves; Coliiformes; Coliidae
Gene: ERO1B
Gene name: endoplasmic reticulum oxidoreductase 1 beta
Exons: 17
Source: RefSeq, a predicted model, not a curated record
GCCGUUCAGCCCCAGGAGAAGCAGGCCGCUGGGCAGGCAGCAGCAGCUGUGGCUGCGUGAGGGGAUCGUGUGCGCGCGCGUCGGUGCUGUGGCGGUGGCAGCAGCGGCGGCAGCAGCGCGCGGGCAAGUUGAGGGCGGCGCGGUGCCCUCGUCCGACGGCUCCCGCCGCAGGUAGGAGCGGCCGCAUCGAUAGAAGACGCUGCCACCUCCGUCGACUCUUGUUUCGUCUGUGUGCUUCCUGUGGCGGCGGCGGCGGCGGCUGCUGCGCGGUGAGGCGAGGGCCGCCCUCCCCCGUCAGCCGCGGCGGGCGGAGCGGCGGCAGCAGCAGUAUGAGCGGCGGCGGUGCCGUCCGGGGAACAGCGGCGACCGCACGGUUGGCAGUGCGGCUGCUGGCAGUCCUUAGCUGCGUCCUGACAGCAGAGGCCCAGCUCACAGGAGUCCUAGAUGAUUGUUUAUGUGACAUAGAAAGCAUCGAUGACUUCAAUACUUUCAAGAUCUUCCCCAAAAUACAGAAACUACAAGAACGGGAUUACUUCAGGUAUUACAAGGUCAACCUGAAGAGACCAUGCCCAUUUUGGGCUGAUGAUGGCCAUUGUUCUAUCAAAGAUUGUCAUGUAGAGCCUUGUCCUGAGAGCAAAAUACCUGUUGGAAUUAAAGCUGGGAGCUCUAAUAAAUAUUCAAAAGCAGCUAAUAAUUCCAAAGAAUUGGAAGACUGUGAGCAAGCUAACAAACUGGGAGCAGUUAACAGUACCUUAAGUAACCAAAGUAAGGAGGCUUUCAUUGACUGGGCAAGAUACGAUGAUUCACAGGAUCAUUUUUGUGAACUUGAUGAUGAGAGAUCUCCAGAUGCCCAAUAUGUGGAUUUGCUGCUGAAUCCAGAACGUUACACUGGAUACAAGGGGCCUUCUGCUUGGAGAGUGUGGAACAGCAUCUAUGAAGAAAACUGCUUCAAGCCUCGAUCUGUCUAUCGUCCUUUAAAUCCACUGGCACCUAGCAGAGGAGGAGAUGAUGGAGAAUCUUUCUACACAUGGCUAGAAGGUCUUUGCCUGGAGAAAAGAGUGUUUUAUAAACUCAUUUCUGGACUUCAUGCAAGCAUCAACUUGCAUUUGUGUGCAAAUUAUCUUCUUGAAGAAACCUGGGGAAAGCCUCGCUGGGGACCGAAUGUGAAGGAGUUCACUCGUCGCUUUGACCCUAUUGAAACAAAAGGAGAAGGACCAAGGAGACUCAAAAAUUUAUAUUUCUUGUAUUUGAUAGAGCUACGUGCUUUGUCAAAGGUUGCACCGUACUUUGAGCGUUCAGUUGUUGACCUUUACACUGGAAAUGGCCAUGAGGAUGCUGAAUCUAAAGCUCUUUUACUAGAUAUCUUCAGGGAUACAAAGUCCUUCCGUAUGCACUUUGAUGAAAAGUCCAUGUUUGCUGGAGAUAAAAAAGGAGCUAAGUCAUUAAAGGAAGAAUUCAGAUUGCAUUUCAAGAACAUAUCUCGCAUAAUGGAUUGUGUUGGAUGUGACAAAUGUAGACUGUGGGGCAAACUACAGACUCAAGGCUUAGGAACUGCUCUGAAGAUCCUGUUUUCUGAGAAAGAAAUACAGAGCCUUCCUGAGAACAGCCCAUCAAAAGGUUUUCAACUCACACGACAGGAAAUAGUUGCUCUUGUAAAUGCCUUUGGAAGGCUUUCUACAAGUAUAAGAGAGUUGCAGAAUUUUAAAGUUUUAUUACAACAAACCAGGUAAUGAAGGCCUUUGCACAACCUGUUAGUGAAGACCAUUUACAUGACUGCAUUGAGCAGCAGGAACUGAUCCUUACAGGACUCACAUGAACUGAUAAAAAACUAGCCUCAAAUUUCUGCCUGACUGGAAAAGAGCCUGUCCUGCUGACGCCCGCUAUAAUAAAAAGUGCUGUCUCUCAAGAAAGUAAACCCUCUUGAGUCAACUGGGAUCAGAUAAAUAAAAGGGGGGAAAAAAAACCCCAAAAACCUGAAACCAUCACUCCCACAAAGUUUUGGUGAUAGUCUCACAAAUUGUCAAUGAACUGGUCUUCAGUCAUCAGUUCCUGUUUAAGCCAGCAGAUAACUUAACCUGGUGUUGCAGAAAGCCAAUACCAGCCUGGGAAUGUUGUGUUCUUACCUAGCAGCCUCCCUUUCCUGUGGGCACCUGUGUCUGAGCAAGCCACUGCAGGCUUCGUUCUUCCACUUAAUGGAGAAGAGCAGUUGGAUUCUAGGUAGAUUUGUCUGGCCUAGUCUGAGCUCUGUGUGUGCACCCUUGAGUAGUUUUUUUCUCCAUGGAAUUGAAGUGGGAAUCUAGGUAACUAGCUCAGGUGCGAACCAACCAUGUUUAGUAAAGGAGUUACACCCCAAGUAUCUUAACUCUUCUGAGUAAUUGCAUAUAUUGAAAGAGUGUUAUGCUGUAUAGCUGGGAUUUAUCUGUGUUGUUACAUACUACAGUGCCUAAAGCUUCAGGCAGAAUUUUCUGGUUGACAAUAAAUUGUGUCUUCUGUGCUACCCCAGGAAGGACCUGGACCUUAGAAUUGUUUUUUCCCUUUUUCCUCUCACUUUGUGGGGAAGGUGAAUUGCUUCCAACCUUCUGGGGAUGCAAUAUGCUAUUUUUCUUUUUUUUUCUACCUGUGCCUGACUAAAACCUAUAGACACAGAAGCAGCGUUACAUCCUAUUGACAUCAUGUGCUUGCUCAUGGGACAGCUUCAGGCACACACAUCCUGGACACCUACUCCCUGCAGCCCUCACUGGCACAGUGCAUGCAAGGCUACUACCAUUGGGUAAGGAUGUAGAGGGACGAUAGGAAGCUUUUCUUCUUUUCGUUUCUGUCAUGAAAACAAACACAGGAAUGCAACUGAACAGCAUAUUCUAUGUAUGGGGAAGUUCUGUUGUGUUUGAAGGUACAUCUCACUUGGCUGUCAAAUACAGAAAGUGUUUGACUUCAUUAUCAUUGUGCAAAUAGGACAUAGGAUUUUUCCUGCUGCAAACCUAGUUGAAACAAUUCUCCUGCCACCAUCUUUUUUACUGUAUUUGAUGUAUGUUCUGUGACUACCCUGCCUAUGAAGUUUUGCCAUGUGAGUUCUUUAUAUGUUAAAUUAAAUUUUAGAAAUUUACAGAUCUGUUUUUAUACUAAAGAAUAAGGUUAGUUACACUAUCCAUGACCUGUAAACUAUUUUAAAUUCCAGAUUCCUGCUGAAGAUCAGCUUCUCAACAUUGUCUGUCAUUCAUUUCAGAGUAAAAGUACACUUUCUUGUACAAGUGACACAAUGAUUGUAAUCCCAGAGGUAGUGAGAAGGCAAAGAAUGAAGACUUGUGUGAGAUGGUAAUAAAGGCUUUGUGCAAAGCACAUAGGUGAAAUGUAUGGUGCUGUAGCUGAACAACUGUCUCUUCAGUGCCUGAGGAGGAAGGUGAGAGUAUAGUUUUGAACAGAAGAAUACAGAGACUUAGGUGAGCUGAAAUCACAAAAGUGUUUUCCUGCUCCAGCUGAUGAUAUAUACUCUGUGUUCCUGUAUGUGCAUGAAACACACAGUGCCACGCUUCCUGGAGUCAUGUUUCGAUGUCUGGGUUGCCUUUACCUGGCCUUGCGGUGUACUGAUCUGGGAAAUGACCUAUCAUAUGUUGUAAAUAAUCUAGAUGCUUAUGUUUAUAAAGCAGCAAUCAGCCACUCAUCACUUUACAAUUCCUCCAUAUAGCUAGCCUAUUAAAUGGAGUAUUUAUUAAAAUCAAAGCCAUUGUUGGAACUGCUUACUGAGAUCUAAAGACUUCUGAAUCUUUGCUAUGUUUGAAUCUAUAAAAUGCAAAUUAAAGUAUUUUCAUUUUCU